RNAcentral lists this ribosomal RNA (495 nucleotides) under uncultured bacterium. Its description in RNAcentral is "bacterial SSU rRNA". It matches the Rfam family "Bacterial small subunit ribosomal RNA", at positions 28 to 486 of the family's 1533-position model. The record is from RNAcentral.
GACGAACGCUGGCGGCGUGCCUAAUACAUGCAAGUCGAACGAAGCUUUCUUUCACCGAAUGCUUGCAUUCACCGAAAGAAGCUUAGUGGCGAACGGGUGAGUAACACGUAGGCAACCUGCCCAAAAGAGGGGGAUAACACUUGGAAACAGGUGCUAAUACCGCAUAACCAUGAACACCGCAUGAUGUUCAUGUAAAAGACGGCUUUUGCUGUCACUUUUGGAUGGGCCUGCGGCGUAUUAACUUGUUGGUGGGGUAACGGCCUACCAAGGUGAUGAUACGUAGCCGAACUGAGAGGUUGAUCGGCCACAUUGGGACUGAGACACGGCCCAAAACUCCUACGGGAGGCAGCAGUAGGGAAUCUUUCCCACAAAUGGACGAAAGUCUGAUGGAGCAACGCCGCGUGAAUGAAGAAGGCCUUCGGGUCGUAAAAAUUCUGUUGUCAGAGAAGAACGUGCGUGAGAGUAACUGUUCACGUAUUGACGGUAUCUGACCAG